CAGAAGCUUAAAUUGUGGUAAAUAUAACGUUUUCGGUGGACACCGGUCUGUCUGUCUGUUUAGUUUCCGGGUCAGCGUCUGACCCCGGAAGCAAAACAACACGCACAAACUCGCGCUACAUUCUCCCCGCAGCGUUUAGCUGUUCCCUACUGAUUCAAACAGGGCUAAGCGACCGCCACACAAUCCCCAUUUCUCCAGACCAUAAUUCUUGUUUGUAAAAGAAAACAGCCCAAACUGAUUCAAUUAUCCGGACCCUAAACCCACGCAGGACGGUCCUGAUCCUCGUUCCGUUCCGAGGCGGAGCUCUGCGGGUCGUCCAGACGCUCAUCAGCCUGCUGGAGACCAAAGGCAAGAAGAUAGUGGUCAACAACAAGAAGAGGUUCAAGGAAGAGUUCGGCAAAGAGGCAGAUGACAAGCCGCCCAAUCAGCAGAGGCCAGACGAUUACAGCGCCAUCUUCUCGGGCAACGUGGACGAUCACUUCAAGAUAGGCGUCUCCAUUGUGAGCAGCAGCAUACGCCUGUACUCCCCCUUUUAUUCAUCGGACAUCAUCAUCGCGUCACCGCUGAGCCUCCGUACGGUGCUGGGAGCAGAAGGAGAAACAUGUGAUGAAGCACAUAAACCUGCAGCCGCUGGACUCCCAUGGAGUGGACUUCUCCAGGGUGAGGAUGUGAAACCUGAACAACUGGGCCAGACACUACCGGCAGACGCUGGUGUUCAGCUCCAUCCAGGACCCACAGAUCACCAACAUCCUCACCAAGCACUGCGCCAACUACCGUGGAUGGGUACUCAUUACAGUAACAUUAAACCUGCUCCUAGGACUGAGCGUUCAGCACGAAAACGGGUUCCAUCUGCCAGGUGCUGGUUCAGCUGUUCAGCUGUUGUUUCAGAUGUUCAGAUGUGACGCUUUUAAUGCUGCUUUUGAGUGUAUUAUUGACAGGUACAGGUAUGGGCUACCCGAAGAGGAGGAGGACCCUGAGAUCGAUGUCGUCAGCCUUGAGGACUCCUCCACAAAACGACGCAGGGAAGAGAGCGACGACGAGGAGGAGGCUGCUGCGAAGAGGCCGAGGUGGUCCGAAGAGAGCGACUCGGAUUGACUCUACGAUGGGACGGGCUGACAUUGUGUUCCCUUUGGCCGGAAAAAGUAAGUAGGAGCUUCUGUUUUGUUGAGAAAGUGACCUAGAAUAGUCUAAAAUAUAAAAACAAAGUAAUAUUAUGUAACAUACCUACAA
This is an RNA transcript of Anarrhichthys ocellatus (wolf-eel), 1230 nucleotides long. It is a transcript of the gene named digestive organ expansion factor-like, with no coding region annotated. Lineage: Eukaryota; Metazoa; Chordata; Actinopteri; Perciformes; Anarhichadidae. The record is from RefSeq and is a predicted model, not a curated record. The transcript has 4 exons.